UUUAAAACAAACUGUUUUUUUUUUUUUUUUUAUCAAGCUCUUCAAGCUCUAGAUAUUUGCUGUUGUGAGUUGAUCCCUUCGUGGAAAUGUACCAGCAAUGGCAAUCCCGUGGCAGAUGCAGGGACUGCCUUUCCCGUGGGCCUGGGCCUCUGCUUUCAACUUGGCAGCCACUGGCUGAACCCAAAUUAAUCUCCAGUGUGUGAGCCAGUCAAUGGAAAAAUACAGAGGCUGCCUCAGGGAGCUGCCAGGGAAAACAGUUCACUCAUGUCUCCUCACAGCCCAGACCGGGAGCGAUCCCUCUCACGGGUCACCUUUGCUGAGAUGCUGCAGAAAAUGGCAAUGCUUGAGGCAAAAUCAGUAUGAAAAUCAGGAUGAAAAGAUUCCAUUUGAAUGUUUGUUUCCCAGAGAGAACUGAUGCAGACACAACGUAAUGUUUAAGGCUCAUGUGACAGUGACAGCUGUCAGUUUAAGAGCUGCCACUGAGUUCUGGGGUCCCCUAAGUGUUUUGCCUGUGUUCACAAUCUUUCCCAGAGAAAGAGACAAGGCCGCUGAGUCAGUGUCCUAAUUAUUAGGUGGUCUCACAGAGACUGGAGUCUCAGUGAAGACCAGCCAAAAGAGCUCGAGCGGGGUUGCUAAAUGUAAAGUUUUCUAACUAGCUGUGUUCCCCACUAGUCCAGAAUUUGGCCUCAGUUUUCUGCUCUGUGUAACAAAGACAACAAAAGCUGCUUCCUGUGCUCACUGAGGACGAUGGAGCAACAAAUGGAUCCCCUUGUCAACAGUGACAUCUAGUUUUCCCACCCAGUGAAAUGACCGGUUUGCCCUGAUCUGAAGGGUCGGUUUCAUCCUGGCUCUUUAAUUUCAGGCUGCGGAAAGGCAUAGAUGCCCGUCCUGUGCUUUCCUGUGGUUUCCCCCGGCAUCCAUCCGAUGAGGCUUCAGCCCCCACCACCUCCUCAGCAUCCUCUCCUUCCUUUCCGGCGAACUCUGCAACUUGAAGCUCUCCUGCUUUGUACUUACAUCCUCUGGCAUGCGUCCCCCACCCCACCCUCCCUCCCGUCCACCCCACCCCCACCCCGUCCGUGGUCUCAACUUAACCAGAAUGACAUCAUGGUGCCUACACCUUUAAGAUUAUAUAAAUCUGUGAUCCCGCCUUGGCCUCCGUUCCCAUGGUAACACUGAGGAGUUUCCCUUUUGUGAGGAAAGCUGUCAUGUCACUUCCUGCUGCUGACAAGUCAGUUUGGGAGAUUAAAAUGAAGGGGGGCGGGGUGCCUCUGAGAAGUGCUGGCUGCUUGGUUUCUGUUGCUGUAUACAGAGGCAAACAAUGCCAGCCUGCUGACCCUGCCUUGCUGGAGCGGGCUUUCCCACACCCCCUAGUGGGGUGUAUCCCGGUCACCUGGGGCUGUUUGUCUCCAAAGGUUGCAUUCUGGGUAGCAGGUAGGAGGGCUGCCCACCUCUGGGGACUUUUUUUUCUGAUGCUGUGCUGGGCAAGUUUGUUCAAGAACAACCCAGUUGAAUCCAGCCUCGUUCUGCUCUAGUGUCUGAUUAGCUCUGGGUUUUGUUCUCCGAAGAACAAAGGGUCCUCACAGUAUUGGCCUUGAAGUGUUGUCUUACAGAGAACUUCUGUUGAGGAAAGUACCUAAAAACAAAACAAAACAAAAAACAAACAAACAAACAAAAAACCCAUCUCCUAAUGAGCUUUUAAAUCUAAGAGCCGUCCCACUCAUCCAUUACCUCCAUUGCGUAUCUAUGACUCCAUUGCCCUCUAAUUGGUGAAAGACCAAGCACUUGCUGGUAAGUGACCUCAAACUGGGAUGUGUGUGUAAGGAGACCAUGGGAUAUGGAUGGAGCCAUGAAGGCAGGUUGGUAAAAAAGGACAUUCCAGUGUGGCUGGUCAGACACAGGUUGCUCAGGGGUCACCAGCCACAUUGAGGCCCGAAUGGCGCACUGGGAAAGAAGCUUAGCCCAAAGGACAGCAAAACCGGAGCCUUGAAUGGACCAUUUGUGGACAGGGAAUAGAACAUUUGAGUGGGUCGAACCUGUGAGUCCCGGAUUUUGAUAGUACUCUUGAAGCCUCAGUUUCCCCAUCUUUAAUGUGGGACAAUCACCCCUUGCUCUAAAGGCGAUUUUGAUUCAUGAUUUAACUUAAUGAAAAGCACAUUAUUGAGACUUGUGAGUCAGCUGGUCCCCAUUCUGUCACAGCAUGGAUGCCCCUCCCUGAGCAGAGUGCCCUGGCAGAGGGAAACGGGUAAGCUGUCCUGCCUAUGUCAUGACGCCAGCCUGCAUUCACAUAAUGCCUGUCACUAAGCCUCGCCAGAAGAAGUGGCCUUGCUCUGAGAUCACUCCGCCCUGCCCCACUGGCCUGGGCCCUCUGAGAGACAGUUUCCUCAUCUGUAAGAGGCACCUGAAGUGUCAUCCAGCUUCCUCUCCUGGGCCUAAGGCCCCUCCAUCCUCAAGGCCAGGGAGCCUGCAGUCCUAGGCUUCGUUCAGGUUGGCUGCAGAAGCCACAGGCUAGAAGUCAGAUGUUUCUUAAGAUGGCACAUGGGGGGGGGGAACCUUAGAAAAGUGCUAGUGUAAUGGACUUGACCCUCCCAAGAAUGGGCUUCCCCAAAGCGUCUAUGGAAGGAAGGUACCACCUACUCCCAAGUCCCAGGCCUGUCUUUGCCUUGCCCUGGACCACACCAUAAAGAUGGAAUUAUGAAUCACCACCACAACUGGCAUCAGUCACUCAUCCAUCCCUUCAGCAGUGACACUGAGACCCAGAGAUGUCCAGUGUCCUGGGCCAAGUAACAUAAUGGAGGCAGAAACAGCAUUAAAACACCACAGGGGCUGCAGGCACUGGAACCUUCCAGCCUCUAACCCUCCUCCACAGCUCGGAAGACCUAGAAAGAACACCACAGCUCUGCUGGCUAGAACCAGUUAACAGAGUCUCUGGCAUCACUGGCUCACUCCUGAACCAGCUAUGAGCACCUGCUACUAAGUGAAGACCAGGUCACUGGGUCAUCUUGAUCCAGUCCCCGUAAAAGAGCUCCCCUGUUUUCUGCUUAGGGACUCUUAGGUGAGUACCUUUCCUUCUGGAAGUGUUAGCUUCCUCACCCACACCGAGUUCCACCUGCUUUAAGGACCACAGUGAGGCUCAAGAAUGGCCCAGCAAGUGACAGUCCUUUGGGUUGUGCCCAAACCUUGCUUGUGCAAGAGUGGUGUCUGUCCCCAUUUUCCUAUGUUCCCCAAUAGUUCCUGGCUGAGUCAGACCCUCACACACUUUGCCACCUUGCUCAGAGCUCCGGGGACUCCACCCUCCCUAUACCCUAGAAGAUGUUCCAGGUCACGUUCUAGGGCUCACUCAUCUCUAUUUUGUGCACAAGAGAUAUCUCUAAGCCUGCUGAUGCCAUGUCCCCAGCACUAAUGCUACCCAUGACCCAGAUGGCCCCACUCUGGAGGACUUGGCCUAGGUCACAGCUGCCAUUUUUUUUCUCUGACCUUCUUCCUGCAGGUCAAGGUCCUGGCACAGGCUCAAGCAAAGGUCUCCAGUCCACAGAGCUCUUUCUCUACACAUGCAGCUCUGGGUACGAAUGAAUACAUGUUAUCAGUGUGGUAGGCAGGGGCCAUAUAAAGGUUGAUUCAUGAGGCUGAGACCUUCGUGGGGUUCAGGUGCAGUCUGGUGGGGGAGACAGACACAAUGUGGUGACCUUAGGUGUUAGUCACACAGAGAGCCAUCCAGGGAGAGGCAACAGGGUUGGUGUGAUGUGGUGUGGUGUGGUGGCAGCGGUGGGAGAGGGUAGAGCAUUGCUACGGAAACGUGGAGUGCCAGGGGAGGGUUGUGAGAAUAAGACUUGCUGGCUGACCUCAAGGGACCCUAAGGAGCUUCAGCGGGAUGGCUGCAGGGCCCGAGGAAGGAAAGGCCCUCCGGGUGGCUCUGAGGUAUCUAGGGCACAGGGUGCUAGCUACCUCCAUGGGGAAGCCUCAGGUACAAGGCUCAGGUCUGCUAUUCUUCAUGACCCUAGGCGUGUUCCUUCCUUCUGAGACUCCCAUUUCAUCCCUUCAUCUACAUAAAGUAGCCGCUACGGCACAACAGAGUACCUGCACUCUGCACAGGCUAAACUCUGUCUUUUCUUUCUUUCUUUUCCUGGUUGCUUAUGGUCCCUGAUUUGGCUGAGGGUCCUAGUUUCUUCGUCUGAGAACCCAGGAACUGCUUCUCUGUGUUUGUGGCUAUAUGGGCUGUGGCAAGCUGAUGCACCCUUUAGUCGGCAUCUUGGAAAAGCAUGGCACCAGCCUCCUUGGAUUCCCAAGACAUCCCUGGCUGCCCAAGGGCCUUUGAGGAUUGCACCUCUGUGUGGAUUCCCUUGUCCUUGGCCACUUCCCUGCCUCCUCCAUGCCUCCCGCUGGUCACCCUGUCAUAUCACCAGACGGAUGCUUGCCAGGGCCUGUGAAGAAGUUCCUGAAGAAGUUCCUUUCUGGGCUGUCAGAUGGCUCAGUGGGUAAGAGCACCUGACUGCUCUUCUGAAGGUCCAGAGUUCAAAU
Long non-coding RNA from Mus musculus (house mouse), 4515 nucleotides. RefSeq annotates it as predicted gene, 34455. NCBI's taxonomy places the organism in Eukaryota, Metazoa, Chordata, Mammalia, Rodentia, Muridae. The record is from RefSeq and is a predicted model, not a curated record. The transcript is spliced from 3 exons.